GAUGAACGCUAGCGGCAGGCUUAACACAUGCAAGUCGAGGGGCAGCGCGGGAUAGCAAUAUCCUGGCGGCGACCGGCGGAAGGGUGCGUAACGCGUGAGCGACAUGCCCGUUGCCCGGGGACAACCGGUGGAAACGCCGACUAAUCCCCGAUGGGAUACGAUGCUUCAUGGCAUUGUAUUGAAAGUUACGGCGGCGACGGAUUGGCUCGCGUCCGAUUAGCUGGUUGGCGGGGUAACGGCCCACCAAGGCUGCGAUCGGUAGGGGUUCUGAGAGGAAGGCCCCCCACAAUGGGACUGAGACACGGCCCAGACUCCUACGGGAGGCAGCAGUGAGGAAUAUUGGUCAAUGGGCGGAAGCCUGAACCAGCCAUGCCGCGUGCGGGAAGGAGGCCCUAUGGGCUGUGAACCGCUUUUGCCUGGGGGCAAUAAGGGCGUCGCGCACGUCCGAUGAGAGUACCAGGCGAAUAAGCAUCGGCUAACUCCGUG
RNAcentral lists this ribosomal RNA (486 nucleotides) under uncultured bacterium. Its description in RNAcentral is "partial 16S ribosomal RNA". It matches the Rfam family "Bacterial small subunit ribosomal RNA", at positions 28 to 507 of the family's 1533-position model. The record is from RNAcentral.